RNAcentral lists this unclassified non-coding RNA (2185 nucleotides) under uncultured fungus. Its description in RNAcentral is "sequence contains 18S rRNA gene, ITS1, 5.8S rRNA gene, ITS2, 28S rRNA gene". The stretch from base 984 to 2185 matches the Rfam family "Eukaryotic large subunit ribosomal RNA", at positions 1 to 961 of the family's 3401-position model. The record is from RNAcentral. Lineage: Eukaryota; Fungi.
GGAGGGAUCAUCAAAGAAUCACAUAUAAACCAAGUGUUUUGGUUGGUUGUGGGUGGGUGUGAGGGGGGGGAGAGAGAGAGAAAGAUUAGCGUCUCUCUCUCUCUCUCCCUCUCUCUCUCUCUCUCUCUCGCUUUCCAAGCACUUGACAAACAAACGAUCACAACUAGAGAAAAUGAUUUGGCGCGCGCACAUGUCUUGGUAUAUUUCUCGCAAGGGAAAAACAAAAGACAGAUAAAAAGUGUUUGCCUGAUAAUUGGUUGACUUGGAAAUAACAGAAAUACAACUUUCAACAACGGAUCUCUUGGCUCUCACAUCGAUGAAGAACAUAGCAAAGUGUGAAAAUUAAUGUGAAUUGCAGAAUUCAGUGAAUCAUUGAGUUUUUGAACGCAUCUUGCACUCCUUGGUAUUCCAGGGAGUAUGCCUGGUUGAGCAAUGUGAACAUAUCUAUCAGUUUUACUCUUUUCGAGAGAGAGGAGAAAAGACUGGAGUUGAGUGGUUUACCUUGUCUUGUUUGUGUGUGGCAUGUGCUGUGUGUGUGUGCUGUGUGUGAGAUUUUGGUUGGCUUUUUUGGUCAAUCUCAAUCUUGCGUGCAGUCACCCCCAGUCAAGUCAGGCGAAACAAGAAAGCAAGGUUCACUUGAAAUGAAGAGAGAGAGAGAGAAACAACAGGGCUUGAUAACAAAAAAGAGACAAGCGAGAGAACCUCCUUUGGGAGGCGAUCAAGAGAAUUGGCUUGAUAAUAACAAUGACUUGAUGAAUGAGAGAAACAACACCCAUAUCUGCCUGCCUGCGAGUCAAAUCGUGGUGUGGGGUUUUAUAUGAGGUUGGAUCGUUUGUUUUUUCAAAGUCUUGUUUAGAGUCUCUUUUCUGCGAAUCUCUUCAAGAACCCCUUGGUUGCGUGUCUUUCUUACAACUAGGAAUGUGUGGCUGGGAAAAGAGAUAUAUAUAUACAUAUAUUCUCAUCCCACCCACCACCAUCAUCAUCAUUCUCAACUCAGGCAAGACUACCCGCUGAAUUUAAGCAUAUAAAUAAGCGGAGGAAAAGAAACUAACAAGGAUUCCCUUAGUAACUGCGAGUGAAGCGGGAAAAGCUCAACUUUGAAAUCUACCAAGAGUAACAUUCUUGGUCGAAUUGUAGUUUCAAGAAAGAGUGGCUGAGAGAAGUCAGUUGGGUGCAAGUUCCUUGGAAUGAGACAUCAGAGAGGGUGACAAUCCCGUCCACCGUCCUUCUGUUUGCUUCUCACCAAAGGCCCUCUUUUCAAAGAGUCGAGUUGUUUGGGAUUGCAGCUCAAAAUGGGUGGUAAAUUUCAUCUAAAGCUAAAUAUGGGUGAGAGACCGAUAGCGAACAAGUACCGUGAGGGAAAGAUGAAAAGCACUCUGAAGAGAGAGUGAAAAGUACGUGAAAUUGUUGAAAGGGAAACGCUUGAAACCAGUCAAGGUUUGCUAGAUUUCAGGAGAGUCGAUGUGUUGGGCGGAGUUGGAUGUGGAGAUUGAUCUUUCAUGGUCGACUCUGCGCUGGCUCCAGCUUGGCCAUACUUUCUGUACGUUUCUAGCAAACAAGUCAGCAUCAGUUUGUUGCUUGGGAAAAAGCGAAUGGGAUUUGGUCGGGCUUUCAAUGGGCUUCGGCCCUUGAAGGUUUGGAGCCUGUUUAGCAUUAUACCAAGCGCCAGACUGAGGACUGCAGUACGGGGCAUUGACUUGGAAUAGGCUGGCCUGUGGUGCCGCCUUGGGUAAACAGCUUGCUGAUUGCUCAGGGUGCUGUCACUCGGGACUGCCCAAUCCAAGCUGGCCUGCCGACUUUGGAUGUUGACGAAAUGGUUUUAAACGACCCGUCUUGAAACACGGACCAAGGAGUCUAACAUGGAUGCAAGUAUUUGGGUGAUUGGAAACCCAUAUGCGCAAUGAAAGUGAACUCUUGAUAGGUAGGACGCUGGGGGGAGAGAGGCCCUUUGCGGGGCCCCCCUCUCUCUAGCCGCACUAUCGACCAAUCUUAUAUAGCUUCGGCUUGCUAGAUUUGAGUAAGAGCAUGCAUGCUGGGACCCGAAAGAUGGUGAACUAUGCCUGAAUAGGGUGAAGUCAGACGAAAGUCUGAUGGAAGCUCGUAGCGAUUCUGACGUGCAAAUCGAUCGUCAAAUUUGGGUAUAGGGGCGAAAGACUAAUCGAACCAUCUAGUAGCUGGUUCCUGC